Molecule: long non-coding RNA, 945 nt
Organism: Solanum dulcamara
Lineage: Eukaryota; Viridiplantae; Streptophyta; Magnoliopsida; Solanales; Solanaceae
Exons: 2
Source: RefSeq, a predicted model, not a curated record
UUUGUCACCCCGACCAAAACCCUAAUAUUUCCCUAUAAAUAACAUUAACAAUUCAACUCCGUAAGAGCGCCGCCAUGGCUUCUAGCAAUAACAAUGUCAAAGUUUGAUAUUUUUGAGUUAAAUCAACUUUUUUCGACGAAGGAUUGCUGCUACUUCUAGAAUGGAUUGUACUUGCAAAAAGUGGCAAAUCAAAAUGAUGAGGAACUGUUUGCUGAAAUUUAUUUGUUGAAGAUAAAUAUCAUAAGCCUUCAAAGUUCUCUGAUUGCGCUUCUUUGAUGACUAAGAAGAAGAAUUGAGUUUUUUUGGCCUUUGCAAUAAUGUUGAAGCUGUUUGGGAAAUUUAUUGUUUAUUAUAUUUUGAUCAUAGUAUUAUUGUGUUGUAAUUACGGUUCAGAAUGCUUUGUUAUGCUUUCUAUAUUGUGUCGAGGUUGGAACCUCUCUACCUUCUAGUGUAGGAUAACAUGACAUACAUUCUAUUCUCUCCAUACUGUACUUGUGUUGUUACAUAUGAUGUGGUUGUUGUUUCUUUUACUACAAGGGAAACCCGCAGUUGCCAUCCUUUGGGUGUGCACACGUAAAAUCCCCUCCUGUGUGAUAGCUCGCAAAUCACACUGGAGAAUAACCCACACUAGUCAAGUCCAGUUUGAGGCCUUCGACCUAGAAGCCAAACCUUUUCUCUGGCCAGAGAUUUCAAACUUGAGAUAUGAAAGUCCCAAGUCCAAACUAUUACGUUACCGAAGGGUGUUGUUGUUAUAAAGUGUGUCGUUCGUUACUUUAAAAUAGUAGAAUUUAAAUUAUGAAUUAGGCAUUACUAUAAACUUUAGAUGCUUCUCUUCUUAUGGUCUUUUGGGUAUUUUUCAGCUUUUGAUCUGAUACAGUUUAUCUAAUGGGAGACAUUAGUUGGUUUCAUUGAGUAGUGUGAUAUAUACUUUGAGGUUGCGCCUUU